AUACGUAGGGUGCAAGCGUUAAUCGGAAUUACUGGGCGUAAAGCGUGCGCAGGCGGUUAUGUAAGACAGAGGUGAAAUCCCCGGGCUCAACCUGGGAGCUGCCUUUGUGACUGCAUGGCUAGAGUGCGGCAGAGGGGGAUGGAAUUCCGCGUGUAGCAGUGAAAUGCGUAGAUAUGCGGAGGAACACCGAUGGCGAAGGCAAUCCCCUGGGCCUGCACUGACGCUCAUGCACGAAAGCGUGGGGAGCAAACAGGAUUAGAAACCCUAGUAGUCC
RNAcentral lists this ribosomal RNA (274 nucleotides) under uncultured bacterium. Its description in RNAcentral is "partial 16S ribosomal RNA". It matches the Rfam family "Bacterial small subunit ribosomal RNA", at positions 523 to 796 of the family's 1533-position model. The record is from RNAcentral.